RNAcentral lists this ribosomal RNA (492 nucleotides) under uncultured bacterium. Its description in RNAcentral is "partial 16S ribosomal RNA". It matches the Rfam family "Bacterial small subunit ribosomal RNA", at positions 29 to 507 of the family's 1533-position model. The record is from RNAcentral.
AGUGAACGCUGGCGGUAGGCCUAACACAUGCAAGUCGAACGGCAGCACAGUAAGAGCUUGCUCUUACGGGUGGCGAGUGGCGGACGGGUGAGGAAUACAUCGGAAUCUACUUUUUCGUGGGGGAUAACGUAGGGAAACUUACGCUAAUACCGCAUACGACCUACGGGUGAAAGCAGGGGAUCUUCGGACCUUGCGCGAUUGAAUGAGCCGAUGUCGGAUUAGCUAGUUGGCGGGGUAAAGGCCAACCAAGGCGGCGAUCCGUAGCUGGUCUGAGAGGAUGGUAGGCCACACGGGAACUGAGACACGGUCCAGACUCCUACGGGAGGCAGCAGUGGGGAAUAUUGGACAGAGGGCGCAAGCCUUAUCCAGCCAUACCGCGUGGGUGAAGAAGGCCUUCGGGUUGUAAAGCCCUUUUGUUGGGAAAGAAAAGCAGCAGGUUAAUACCCCGCUGUUCUGACGGUACCCAAAGAAUAAGCACCGGCUAACUUCGUG